AAGUCUUAAAAGCUUUAAGCAUUCUAUUUUGUAAGUAGGGAGAAAUCAAGGAUAUUUGAUUUAAGACUUG
Molecule: transfer RNA, 70 nt
Filed under: Astrospartus mediterraneus
Lineage: Eukaryota; Metazoa; Echinodermata; Ophiuroidea; Euryalida; Gorgonocephalidae
Description: transfer RNA-Thr
Source: RNAcentral